CCGUGACUGGCAGCUGCACCUGCCCCCCUGGGAGGACUGGCGUCCACUGUGAGCACGGCUGCCCUCAGAACCGGUUUGGAGUGAGCUGUGAGCGCGUGUGCUCCUGCAGGAACGGGGGCCUGUGCCAUGCGGCCAAUGGCAGCUGCUCCUGCGGCCUGGGCUGGACGGGGCCGCACUGUGAGCUGGCCUGCCCUCCUGGUGACUAUGGUGCUUCCUGCCGUCUGGAGUGCUCUUGCCAAAACAAUGGCACUUGUGAGCCCACCA
RNAcentral lists this long non-coding RNA (264 nucleotides) under Ursus maritimus (polar bear). RNAcentral describes it as "lncRNA (ENSUMAG00000010722.1)". The record is from RNAcentral. Lineage: Eukaryota; Metazoa; Chordata; Mammalia; Carnivora; Ursidae.